GGGUUAAGUCCCGCAACGAGCGCAACCCCUAUCUUUAGUUGCCAGCAUUAAGUUGGGCACUCUAGAGAGACUGCCUGGGCUAACCAGGAGGAAGGUGGGGAUGACGUCAAGUCCUCAUGGCCCUUAUGUCUAGGGCUACACACGUAAUACAAUGGUGCAUACAAAGGGAAGCGACCUCGCGAGAGUGAGCAAAUCUCAAAAAGUGCAUCUCAGUCCGGAUUGGAGUCUGCAACUCGACUCCAUGAAGUUGGAAUCGCUAGUAAUCGCGGAUCAGCAUGCCGCGGUGAAUACGUUCCCAGGCCUUGUACACACCGCCCGUCACACCAUGGGAGUUGAUUGCACCAGAAGUAGCUAGCCUAACCUUCGGGAGGGCGGUUACCACGGUGUGGUUAAUGACUGGGGUGAAGUCGUAACAAGGUAACCGUAGGGGAACCUGCGGUUGGAUCACCUCCUU
This 454-nucleotide ribosomal RNA is filed under the name Pteridomonas danica. RNAcentral's name for it is "partial Bacterial small subunit ribosomal RNA". It matches the Rfam family "Bacterial small subunit ribosomal RNA", at positions 1077 to 1532 of the family's 1533-position model. The record is from RNAcentral. Lineage: Eukaryota; Dictyochophyceae; Pedinellales.